RNAcentral lists this ribosomal RNA (225 nucleotides) under uncultured bacterium. RNAcentral's name for it is "partial 16S ribosomal RNA". It matches the Rfam family "Bacterial small subunit ribosomal RNA", at positions 524 to 744 of the family's 1533-position model. The record is from RNAcentral.
UACGUAGGGUGCAAGCGUUAAUCGGAAUUACUGGGCGUAAAGCGUGCGCAGGCGGCUUUGCAAGACAGAUGUGAAAUCCCCGGGCUUAACCUGGGAACUGCAUUUGUGACUGCAUGGCUGGAGUGCGGGCAGAGGGGGGAUGGAAUUCCGGCGUGUAGCAGUGAAAAUGCGUAGAUAUGCGGAGGAACACCGAUGGCGAAGGCAAUCCCCCUGGGCCUCACUGAC